RNAcentral lists this ribosomal RNA (465 nucleotides) under uncultured Klebsiella sp. RNAcentral's name for it is "bacterial SSU rRNA". It matches the Rfam family "Bacterial small subunit ribosomal RNA", at positions 338 to 795 of the family's 1533-position model. Lineage: Bacteria; Pseudomonadati; Pseudomonadota; Gammaproteobacteria; Enterobacterales; Enterobacteriaceae. The record is from RNAcentral.
CCUACGGGAGGCAGCAGUGGGGAAUAUUGCACAAUGGGCGCAAGCCUGAUGCAGCCACGCCGCGUGUGUGAAGAAGGCCUUCGGGUUGUAAAGCACUUUCAGCGGGGAGGAAGGCGGUGAGGUUAAUAACCUCAUCGAUUGACGUUACCCGCAGAAGAAGCACCGGCUAACUCCGUGCCAGCAGCCGCGGUAAUACGGAGGGUGCAAGCGUUAAUCGGAAUUACUGGGCGUAAAGCGCACGCAGGCGGUCUGUCAAGUCGGAUGUGAAAUCCCCGGGCUCAACCUGGGAACUGCAUUCGAAACUGGCAGGCUAGAGUCUUGUAGAGGGGGGUAGAAUUCCAGGUGUAGCGGUGAAAUGCGUAGAGAUCUGGAGGAAUACCGGUGGCGAAGGCGGCCCCCUGGACAAAGACUGACGCUCAGGUGCGAAAGCGUGGGGAGCAAACAGGAUUAGAUACCCGAGUAGUC